Molecule: ribosomal RNA, 487 nt
Filed under: uncultured bacterium
Lineage: Bacteria
Description: partial 16S ribosomal RNA
Rfam family: Bacterial small subunit ribosomal RNA
Source: RNAcentral
AGUGAACGCUGGCGGCGUGCUUAACUCAUGCAAGCCGAGCGAGAUUCUACAGUACACCGUAGAGUCUAGCGGCAGACGGGUGAGUAAUACGUAGGGAACCUUCCCUGAAAUGGAGAAUACCCUCGAGAAAUCGAGGCUAAUGCUGCAUAAGACCACGCUCCGGCAUCGGAGAGAGGUCAAAGGCCCGCAAGGGUCGUUUCGGGAUGGUCCUGCGUCCUAUCAGCUUGUUGGUGAGGUAACGGCUCACCAAGGCUACGACGGGUAGCCGGCCUGAAAGGGCGAUCGGCCACACUGGAACUGAGACACGGUCCAGACUCCUACGGGAGGCAGCAGUGGGGAAUUUUGGACAAUGGGCGAAAGCCUGAUCCAGCAACGCCGCGUGAAGGAUGACGGUCUUCGGAUUGUAAACUUCUUUAAGAGGGAACGAAAAAAAUGACGGUACUCUCAGAAUAAGCCACGGCUAACUACGUGCCAGCAGCCGCCGUAA